This is a long non-coding RNA of Betta splendens (Siamese fighting fish), 763 nucleotides long. RefSeq lists it as uncharacterized. The transcript is spliced from 4 exons. Lineage: Eukaryota; Metazoa; Chordata; Actinopteri; Anabantiformes; Osphronemidae. The record is from RefSeq and is a predicted model, not a curated record.
UGCUCCUCCGGCAGAGUCUGCCUCCAGCUGUGAGGCAGCAGCUUCAACACAGAAACAGACAAAAGGUCAGCACAAGCCAAACAAUGUGAAGCACAGUGGGGGAUGCAGGCAGCAACUUCACCACAGAAACAGACAAAAGGACAGCCCUCAGCUGCGGCUGCAGCUCUGGUCCUGGGCCGCACGGCGACGCUGCUGUCACCACUGGAAGACAGGUCCAGGUCAUCAACGGGCACAGGAGUGGAGGCUGAAGAUGGGACCUCUGCAAAAAUAACUAAAAGUAAUCAAAGUCAUGCAAAUACUCAGACAUGAGAGAGAUUCCACAACACGUGUCGUUGAAUCUGUCUGAUGUCUGUGUUCUGUGCACAGAACAAACUUUACUAUGCCAGUUAAACUACUGACGGACAACAACAAUCACCAUACCAUAAUGUGAUGACAUACAGACGGACAGCGAAGCGCUUACGUCUCAACCUCUUUCCCCGUGGCCUCGUACAUGGAGGCGUAGGUCAUGGCUCCGUGGGGGCCGAACUCCACCAACUUCUUGUCUUGGCUCCGGACAGACUUGGAACCCUCCGUGGCACGGCGUCCCUCCACGGCUGACAUCACCUCUGGGAACAGCUUGCUGUAGGAGCACCUUGUUGGCCAUAAGUGGUGAGCUGGAUGUGUCACCACUCUCCCGCUCCUUCUGGUGUGAGGCCAGCAGGGCCACAGCGUAGCCCACGUCGUGACUCAGGAGCCACUUGAAGGUCUGUCCCCGGUACUGCCC